Molecule: ribosomal RNA, 729 nt
Filed under: Aneurinibacillus sp. P3873
Lineage: Bacteria; Bacillati; Bacillota; Bacilli; Caryophanales; Paenibacillaceae
Description: bacterial SSU rRNA
Rfam family: Bacterial small subunit ribosomal RNA
Source: RNAcentral
UCAGGACGAACGCUGGCGGCGUGCCUAAUACAUGCAAGUCGAGCGGACAGAUGGAGUGCUUGCACUCCUGAUGUUAGCGGCGGACGGGUGAGUAACACGUAGGCAACCUGCCCGACAGACAGGGAUAACUCCGGGAAACCGGUGCUAAUACCUGAUAGGCAGCAAGGAGGCAUCUCUUUGUUGGGAAAGACCAUGAGUCACUGUCGGAUGGGCCUGCGGCGCAUUAGCUAGUUGGUGGGGUAGAGGCCUACCAAGGCGACGAUGCGUAGCCGACCUGAGAGGGUGAUCGGCCACACUGGGACUGAGACACGGCCCAGACUCCUACGGGAGGCAGCAGUAGGGAAUCUUCCGCAAUGGACGAAAGUCUGACGGAGCAACGCCGCGUGAACGAAGAAGGUUUUCGGAUCGUAAAGUUCUGUUGUAAGGGACGAACCGCCGGGAUGACCUCCCGGUCUGACGGUACCUUACGAGAAAGCCCCGGCUAACUACGUGCCAGCAGCCGCGGUAAUACGUAGGGGGCAAGCGUUGUCCGGAAUUAUUGGGCGUAAAGCGCGCGCAGGCGGUUUUCUAAGUUAGGUGUGAAAGCCCACGGCUCAACCGUGGAGGGCCACCUAAAACUGGGAGACUUGAGUGCAGGAGAGGAGAGCGGAAUUCCACGUGUAGCGGUGAAAUGCGUAGAGAUGUGGAGGAACACCCGUGGCGAAGGCGGCUCUCUGGCCUGUAACUGAC